This 253-nucleotide ribosomal RNA is filed under the name uncultured bacterium. Its description in RNAcentral is "partial 16S ribosomal RNA". It matches the Rfam family "Bacterial small subunit ribosomal RNA", at positions 524 to 776 of the family's 1533-position model. The record is from RNAcentral.
UACGGGGGCGGCAAGCGUUGUUCGGAAUUACUGGGCGUAAAGGGCGCGUAGGCGGGUGGACAAGUCUCUCGUGAAAGCCCACGGCUCAACCGUGGAAUUGUGGGAGAUACUGUCUGUCUUGAGUCCGGGAGAGGAGGGUGGAAUUCCCAGUGUAGCGGUGAAAUGCGUAGAUAUUGGGAGGAACACAGGUGGCGAAGGCGGCUCUCUGGACCGGUACUGACGCUGAGGCGCGAAAGCUAGGGUAGCAAACGGG